Molecule: small nuclear RNA, 104 nt
Organism: Lagenorhynchus albirostris (white-beaked dolphin)
Lineage: Eukaryota; Metazoa; Chordata; Mammalia; Artiodactyla; Delphinidae
Source: RefSeq, a predicted model, not a curated record
GUGCCCACUUUGGCAAAAUGAAGUAAAAUUGGCCUGAUACAAAGAAGAUUAGCAUAGGACUUGCAUAAGAUGACACAAAUGUUUUUGAGACAUUCCAUUUUUUC